This is a long non-coding RNA of Peromyscus californicus insignis, 526 nucleotides long. RefSeq lists it as uncharacterized. NCBI's taxonomy places the organism in Eukaryota, Metazoa, Chordata, Mammalia, Rodentia, Cricetidae. The record is from RefSeq and is a predicted model, not a curated record. The transcript is spliced from 3 exons.
UCACCUCCCGGCCGCCGCUGCUUCCUCGCGGAGCGGGGCUCGCGGACCCGGGGGACCGGAAACAGGGCGGCGGGCGGGGAGCAGGCCGGCGAGCCAGAGACGUUGGCAAACACCCCGAAGCCGAGAUGCAGCCUUUACUUCAAAUAAAAUAGGAAAAUAAAAUCCUCAGCUGGCCGCCCCGCUGGGGCUAGGUGACGUGCGAGAUUCCACAGCCCGCGGGCCUCGCAGCAGGGAGGUUUUCCCCUCCAAUCCUAGGCUCAACUCCGAAUGGAUUGGAUUUCGAGUUUGCACGUGAGAAAACCGUUUGGCUUUGCUCAGACCCCUCCGUCUCCCCCACACACCUAAUCCAGGGGUCCGGGGUAUCAGCCUUUGCUGGCAACUCUAAAAGAAGUUACCCACUUCCUGCAUAGCAAUACAGGAUUGAAAUAAUUCCUCUAGAUGAAAGAUCAAUUCCAUUUCUAAACCAGAAUAGAUUCCUUUUUCAUUUUCCCCACAUGGUACAAAAUAAACACAAUUUGCUUUUAAA